GUCCCUGUAGCGCAAUGGAUAGCACGUUGGACUUCUAAUCCAAAGGUCGUGGGUUCAAAUCCCAGCUGAAACU
Trichonephila inaurata madagascariensis is the source of this 73-nucleotide non-coding RNA. The record is from the annotation of a GenBank genome assembly. Lineage: Eukaryota; Metazoa; Arthropoda; Arachnida; Araneae; Nephilidae.